Molecule: ribosomal RNA, 534 nt
Filed under: Agrilus cyanescens
Lineage: Eukaryota; Metazoa; Arthropoda; Insecta; Coleoptera; Buprestidae
Description: partial 16S ribosomal RNA
Rfam family: Bacterial large subunit ribosomal RNA (bases 396-534)
Source: RNAcentral
UUAACAAAAACAUGUCUUUUUGAUUAUUAUUUAAAGUCUAAUCUGCCCAAUGAUGAGUUAAAUGGCCGCGAUAUUUUGAUCGUGCGAAGGUAGCAUAAUCAUUAGUUUUUUAAUUGGAAGCUGGAAUGAAGGAUUGGACGAGAAACUUUCUGUCUCAAUUUUAUUAUUUGAAUUUUAUUUUUAAGUAAGAAAGCUUAAAUUUAUUUAUAAGACGAGAAGACCCUAUAGAGUUUAAAUAUUUAAGUAUUUAUUUUUGUUUUGGAUUUAUGAAUAUUUUAAUUAUUUUAAGUAUUUGGCUGGGGUGGUGGAAAAAUUUUUUAACUUUUUCUUUUUAAAAUAUUUAUUUAUAGGUUUUUGACUUAUUAUGAUUAGUUACAAGAUAAAAUUACCUUAGGGAUAACAGCGUAAUUUCUUUUGAGAGCUCUAAUCGAAAAAGAAGAUUGCGACCUCGAUGUUGGAUUAAAGUUUAAUUUUGGUGAAGAAGUUAAAAAUAUUUAGUCUGUUCGACUAUUAAAACUUUACAUGAUCUGAGUU